Molecule: long non-coding RNA, 1098 nt
Filed under: Meleagris gallopavo (turkey)
Lineage: Eukaryota; Metazoa; Chordata; Aves; Galliformes; Phasianidae
Description: lncRNA (ENSMGAG00000018368.1)
Source: RNAcentral
AUGUCCCCAAUGUCCCCAGUGCCGGACCCUGAGAGAAGGGCACGAGGAGGCUGUCUGCAAAAGCCCUCUUUAUUCGGAGUACAAAACGGGGGGCUGGCUGCAAGUCCCCUGGGACGGGAUGACACAGCUCUGUCCCCACAUGUCCCCCACCAGUGCCACCCCCAGGCUAGUGUCAUGUCCCUGGGAUGGGGCGCUGCUGACACCACGUCCAGGCAGUGCUCAGGGUUGGGUUGGGGACAGCAGCACCCAUCGAGGUGCCCAUCCCGUGAGGUCCUCCUGGUGCCACCUGGAGAUGUCCCCCUGCCACCCCGCCUCCUGCACCACUUGGGAGCACCCCAAGGACUUGGCUGCUGGCCUGGGGACAUCCACACCCCCAGGAGAGCCGGGGAUGACAGAGUGCCACCAGCACAGAGGGACAAACAGCCCGGGGUAUCCCAAAAGACACCGAGUAGCGGCCAGGUGACGACAGGGAGGGGUCAGUUCUUGAACAUGUCGCAGAGCAGCUUCUCCAUGGGGGUGUUGCCGAUGGUACGGCGGAAGAAGAGCAGCUCGACGCGCUCAGAGGAGAGGAAGCGCAGCGCCGGCAGGAGCAGCAGCAGCUUCCCAAACCUGGAGGAUGGAGCGGUGUCACAAACCCCGCUGUCGACGGCACCUCCGGGGCUGGGGCUGGCUGUACCUGACGGGCUGCCCGGGGUAGUGGGAGCGGUUGUGCUGGCCCAGCAUCACCUGCGACUGGUCCUGCAGGUUCUCCACCUGCUCAGGGUCCUUCAGGCCGCGGGUCUCUGCCAGGACAGCGGGUGUUGGGGUGACACGGGGACAGGCAGCGGAGGACCUGGGUGCGCGCUCUCACCUGGCUUGAAGAGCACCACAGCCUUCAUGCAGGCAAAUUCGGUGGGAUCGACCGCUAGUGCUUUGAAGCGCCCCAGGGUCUCCUGCAGCGCCCGCACGUCCACAGCAGCUGGCAGCAGCUUGCCGGGGGACGGCUCAGGGACGGCCAGCAGCGGGCAGCUCUCCAGGGGCAUGGACCACUGGAUGGCACAGAGCAGGAACAGCUCGCUCCACGCCUCCUCCAGCAGGAUCACCUGGGGGCAGCCAUAA